UACGGAGGGUGCUAGCGUUGUUCGGAAUCACUGGGCGUAAAGGGCGUGUAGGCGGUCUGCUAAGUCUGGUGUGAAAUCCCCCCGCUCAACGGGGGAACGGCGCCGGAUACUGGCAGACUUGAGUACCGGAGAGGAAGGUGGAAUUCCCGGUGUAGCGGUGAAAUGCGUAGAUAUCGGAAGGAACAUCAGUGGCGAAAGCGGCUUCCUGGACCAGUACCGACGUUCAGGCACGAAAGUGUGGGGAGCAAACAGG
Molecule: ribosomal RNA, 253 nt
Filed under: uncultured bacterium
Lineage: Bacteria
Description: partial 16S ribosomal RNA
Rfam family: Bacterial small subunit ribosomal RNA
Source: RNAcentral